RNAcentral lists this ribosomal RNA (496 nucleotides) under uncultured bacterium. RNAcentral describes it as "partial 16S ribosomal RNA". It matches the Rfam family "Bacterial small subunit ribosomal RNA", at positions 29 to 507 of the family's 1533-position model. The record is from RNAcentral.
AUGCACGCUGGCGGCGUGCCUAAUACCUGCCAGUCGAGCGAACAGACGAGGAGCUUGCUCCUCUGACGUUAGCGGCGGACGGGUGAGUAACACGUGGAUAACCUACCUAUAAGACUGGGAUAACUUCGGGAAACCGGAGCUAAUACCGGAUAAUAUAUUGAACCGCAUGGUUCAAUAGUGAAAGACGGUUUUGCUGUCACUUAUAGAUGGAUCCGCGCCGCAUUAGCUAGUUGGUAAGGUAACGGCUUACCAAGGCAACGAUGCGUAGCCGACCUGAGAGGGUGAUCGGCCACACUGGAACUGAGACACGGUCCAGACUCCUACGGGAGGCAGCAGUAGGGAAUCUUCCGCAAUGGGCGAAAGCCUGACGGAGCAACGCCGCGUGAGUGAUGAAGGUCUUCGGAUCGUAAAACUCUGUUAUUAGGGAAGAACAAAUGUGUAAGUAACUAUGCACGUCUUGACGGUACCUAAUCAGAAAGCCACGGCUAACUACGUG